This 84-nucleotide transfer RNA is filed under the name Spirochaetes bacterium ADurb.Bin133. RNAcentral describes it as "tRNA-Leu". It matches the Rfam family "tRNA". Rfam says of the family: Transfer RNA (tRNA) molecules are approximately 80 nucleotides in length. Lineage: Bacteria; Pseudomonadati; Spirochaetota. RNAcentral also lists the same sequence under 1 other name. The record is from RNAcentral.
GCCGGCGUGAUGGAAUUGGUAGACGUGCUGGACUCAAAAUCCAGUUGGGGCGACUCAGUGUCGGUUCAAAUCCGACCGCCGGCA